Molecule: non-coding RNA, 64 nt
Filed under: Tsukamurella pulmonis
Lineage: Bacteria; Bacillati; Actinomycetota; Actinomycetes; Mycobacteriales; Tsukamurellaceae
Source: RNAcentral
GGUGCGUCGCGAAAGACAUCCGGACGAGGCGCACCGUACCCGGCGAGCGAAAAGACGGUGUGAA